UGUGCAUUGGUGGGGUCCCUCGGCCUGGCCUGUGGACAUCCCUCAAGGGGUCCUGGAUUAUGAGAGGGUGCAGGCCAGGCCAAGGGACUCCACCGGUGCAAG
Myotis lucifugus (little brown bat) is the source of this 102-nucleotide non-coding RNA. The record is from Rfam. Lineage: Eukaryota; Metazoa; Chordata; Mammalia; Chiroptera; Vespertilionidae.